Molecule: ribosomal RNA, 521 nt
Filed under: uncultured bacterium
Lineage: Bacteria
Description: partial 16S ribosomal RNA
Rfam family: Bacterial small subunit ribosomal RNA
Source: RNAcentral
GACGAACGCUGGCGGCGUGCCUAAUACAUGCAAGUUGAACGCUUCUUUCUUAUCGAACUUCGGUUCACCAAGAAAGGAGAGUAGCGAACGGGUGAGUAACACGUGGGUAACCUGCCCAUCAGCGGGGGAUAACACUUGGAAACAGGUGCUAAUACCGCAUAAUACUUUUUCUCUCAUGAGUGAAAGUUGAAAGGCGCUUUUGCGUCACUGAUGGAUGGACCCGCGGUGCAUUAGCUAGUUGGUAGGGUAACGGCCUACCAAGGCAACGAGGCAUAGCCGACCUGAGAGGGUGAUCGGCCACACUGGGACUGAGACACGGCCCAGACUCCUACGGGAGGCAGCAGUAGGGAAUCUUCGGCAAUGGACGAAAGUCUGACCGAGCAACGCCGCGUGAGUGAAGAAGGUUUUCGGAUCGUAAAACUCUGUUGUUAGAGAAGAACAAGGAUGAGAAGAGAAUGUUCAUCCCUUGACGGUAUCUAACCAGAAAGCCACGGCUAACUACGUACCAGCCGCCGCAGUAA